RNAcentral lists this transfer RNA (78 nucleotides) under Alphaproteobacteria bacterium. RNAcentral's name for it is "tRNA-Pro". It matches the Rfam family "tRNA". From Rfam's summary of the family: Transfer RNA (tRNA) molecules are approximately 80 nucleotides in length. Their secondary structure includes four short double-helical elements and three loops (D, anti-codon, and T loops). The record is from RNAcentral. Lineage: Bacteria; Pseudomonadati; Pseudomonadota; Alphaproteobacteria.
CGGGGCGUAGCGCAGCCUGGUCAGCGCACCUGUUUUGGGUACAGGGGGCCCCCAGUUCGAAUCUGGGCGCCCCGACCA